UGUCAAAGUUAGGUCUUGAUCCUUGGACGUGUGGGUUGUGGGCCAACCAUGCUACCACGAUGCCACUUUGAU
RNAcentral lists this transfer RNA (72 nucleotides) under Cajanus cajan (pigeon pea). RNAcentral's name for it is "tRNA gene-KK1_038924". Lineage: Eukaryota; Viridiplantae; Streptophyta; Magnoliopsida; Fabales; Fabaceae. The record is from RNAcentral.